This is a long non-coding RNA of Scophthalmus maximus (turbot), 400 nucleotides long. RefSeq lists it as uncharacterized. The transcript is spliced from 2 exons. The record is from RefSeq and is a predicted model, not a curated record. Lineage: Eukaryota; Metazoa; Chordata; Actinopteri; Pleuronectiformes; Scophthalmidae.
AGAAAAUCUUCUAAUUCAAAUUCCUUCCUGAGGUUAAGGAGCACGCAGAUGGAAGACUAAAGAAGCUAUGAGAAGGAAAGAAAAAACAUGUCAAUUAUCUGAACAAGCAACUCAACAGUCAUUAACAUUUCGAGACAGGCCUCAACAAGCUCUGCUUCUGUCUCCUUCACUUUGUUGACAAACAUCUGCCUCAUCUCUUCCUCUUUGCGCUGAAGCUCCACAAUGAACUCCUUCCUCUUGGCUUCGUAUGUCUCCUGAAGGCUGAGGACCGGUAUAAAAGCAAAGUUUAGCUCCGGAUGGACAGGAUUAGCUGGCUGCGUCAGCUGUUUGUAAAUUCAAUCUUAGUUUGCUUGUAAUAUUAAUGUCUACAAGGUAGUAAAUUUAUGUCACAAACACACGA